RNAcentral lists this transfer RNA (67 nucleotides) under Marmota monax (woodchuck). RNAcentral's name for it is "tRNA.Ala". The stretch from base 6 to 62 matches the Rfam family "tRNA", at positions 8 to 63 of the family's 71-position model. From Rfam's summary of the family: Transfer RNA (tRNA) molecules are approximately 80 nucleotides in length. Their secondary structure includes four short double-helical elements and three loops (D, anti-codon, and T loops). Further hydrogen bonds mediate the characteristic L-shaped molecular structure. tRNAs have two regions of fundamental functional importance: the anti-codon, which is responsible for specific mRNA codon recognition, and the 3' end, to which the tRNAs corresponding amino acid is attached (by aminoacyl-tRNA synthetases). tRNAs cope with the degeneracy of the genetic code in two manners: having more than one tRNA (with a specific anti-codon) for a particular amino acid; and 'wobble' base-pairing, i.e. permitting non-standard base-pairing at the 3rd anti-codon position. Lineage: Eukaryota; Metazoa; Chordata; Mammalia; Rodentia; Sciuridae. The record is from RNAcentral.
GGAUAUAGCUCAGUUGGUAGAGUGCUUGCUUUGCAUGCACAGGCCCUGGGUUCAAUUCCCAGCACCA